This is a long non-coding RNA of Liolophura sinensis, 1358 nucleotides long. RefSeq lists it as uncharacterized. The transcript has 3 exons. NCBI's taxonomy places the organism in Eukaryota, Metazoa, Mollusca, Polyplacophora, Chitonida, Chitonidae. The record is from RefSeq and is a predicted model, not a curated record.
GAAGGGUGACACACUCCCUAAAGGGAAGAAGGAUGACACACUCACCACAGUGGAGGAGGAUGUACCCACAUCCAGCCACUUCCUGGCCUAUUUCUUGACAGCAUGUGUCAUCUGUAUUGCCGGAUAUGUGCUCUUCCACAAUAAGCAAAAGAUCGUAGCUUUCAUUGUUGAGGGUCGCAGUCGGGCUGAUGGACGGCGGUCUCGUGGAGGGGACUAUAAGCUGUUACAGUCAAAUGUGGAAGAGGCCAUGUCAAGUCUGGACAAGUCUGUAACUACCAAGAACUACAUCUACUGAUAUCCUCCUGGGAAGUGCUCCAAGGUAUUGGUGCUUGGUCGAGAAGAAACCUGUCCCAUAACUAAGACGUCGGGAAAACAAGUUAAACAUGACAGAACUUAAAAAAACAAAACCGUUACCUAUACAUUCCGAAGUGAGACAUGGACUCCUGCAAGAAGAGUUUUCUGCUUUACAUAUGGGUUUAUCUGUAUAGUGGUAUAAUGAAAGUGUUUUGUUGUGGUAGUUUUUAAAUAACCACAUUCAAGUGAAAUUAGUUCAGUACUGUAACAAAAUCAGGUAGCAGUGUCUUGUUCCCUUUGUUUUAAGAUCAUCAUUUAAUAUAGAUGUUCUUGUGAAACAAGAUUGUCUCUUUUUAUUGUCAACAUUUUACCAGAUUUGCUGCCUGUUUUACUAAUAAGUGUUUUAACUACUGUUGGUUGGUGAAAAGAGUGUUUGGAAGCAUUGUUUUUUCUUUCAUUCUACAUCUUUCAUUGUUUUGAUAUUGCCCAUAUAUAGUGCAGAACAACUGUUGCACCACUAGGGUUCCUGGCUGCUGUUUCAGCCAAUGUCAGUGUAUGGUUGUUAUAGAAUUACCAUAGUAAACAGAUGUUACAUCUGACCAAUAUGUGAAGGACCGACUUGGAAAGUACAAGUUUGUAUAGUUUAGAUUUUAGGGUGAUCUCUCAUCUUUACUGAUGUGUGUUCCUUUUUUUAGCGUGUAUAGUUACAUACAUGUUAAUAAAGGAGGUCAUUGAUAUGUAAGCAUACAAAGCUGUCACAUAAAUAUGUGUAUGUGAAUAAAGGAGUCGAUAUGUAAGCCUACAAAGCUUUCUCAUAAAUAUGUGCAUGUGAAUCAAGGAGGCCAUUGAUAUGUCACGUAACUAUGUGUAUGUGAAUCAAGGCAGCCAUUGAUAUGUAAGCCUACAAAGCUUUCACAUAAAUAUGUGUAUGUGAAUCAAGGCGGCCAUUGAUAUGUAAGCCUACAAAGCUUUCACAUAAAUAUAUGUAAAUAAAUCAUGAAGACAGUAUACCCUGGCCACUGUACAUGAUUAGAAGAAUUUUUUUUAGCUGUCCUGUGCAUAGU